AUUGAACGCUGGCGGAAUGCUUUACACAUGCAAGUCGAACGGUAGAGGGGGCAACCCCUUGAGAGUGGCGAACGGGUGAGUAAUAUAUCGGAACGUGCCCAGUCGUGGGGAUAACGUAGCGAAAGUUACGCUAAUACCGCAUACGAUCUACGGAUGAAAGCGGGGGACUCGCAAGAGCCUCGCGCGAUUGGAGCGGCCGAUAUCAGAUUAGGUAGUUGGUGGGGUAAAGGCUCACCAAGCCAACGAUCUGUAGCUGGUCUGAGAGGACGACCAGCCACACUGGAACUGAGACACGGUCCAGACUCCUACGGGAGGCAGCAGUGGGGAAUUUUGGACAAUGGACGCAAGUCUGAUCCAGCCAUUCCGCGUGCAGGAUGAAGGCCCUCGGGUGUAAACUGCUUUUGUACGGAACGAAAAGGUUUCUAUUAAUACUAGGAGCUCAUGACGGUACCGUAAGAAUAAGCACCGGCUAACU
Molecule: ribosomal RNA, 475 nt
Filed under: uncultured bacterium
Lineage: Bacteria
Description: bacterial SSU rRNA
Rfam family: Bacterial small subunit ribosomal RNA
Source: RNAcentral